UUCAAAGAGUGCGUAAUAGCUCACUAGUCGAGUGAUGUUGCGCGGAAAAUUCAACGGGGCUAAGCAUACAACCGAAGCUUGGGCAGUAGAAAUACUGGGUAGGGGAGCGUUCUGUACGGGCAGAAGCAUCAGCGGAAGCAGAUGUGGACUGUACAGAAGUGAGAAUGCCGGAAUGAGUAGCGAGAAUUGUGUGAGAAUCAUAAUGGCCGAAAAUCUAAGGUUUCCGGGGGUAGGGUCGUCCACCCCGGGUUAGCCGGGAGCUAAGGCGAGGCCGCGAGGCGUAGUCGAUGCACAAACGGUAGAGAUUCCGUUGCCGCCAGAUCUUAAGUAACUGACACGAGGGUAGAGUUCAACCCGGCCGAUGGUAGAGCCGGGCGAAAGGGACUGAAGAAUAGUAGGGAAGUGAACGAAGCCAGCGGCGAGAAAAGGUUAUGUAUGAAAUCAGGCGCCCGUACCGCAAACCGACACAGGUAGAUGAGGAGAGGAUCCUAAGGCCAGCGGGAGAAGGGUUGUUAAGGAACUCGGCAUAUUGACCCCGUAACUUCGGAAGAAGGGGUGCCUCCGUAAGGAGGCCGCAGUGAAAAGGCCCAGGCAACUGUUUAUCAAAAACACAGGUUUCUGCAAAAGCGAAAGCUGAAGUAUAGGAGCUGACGCCUGCCCGGUGCUGGAAGGUCAAGGGGAUUGCUUAGCGCAAGCGAAGGCGAGAACUUAAGCCCCAGUAAACGGCGGCCGUAACUAUAACGGUCCUAAGGUAGCGAAAUUCCUUGCCAGGUAAGUUCUGGCCUGCACGAAUGGCGUAAUGAUCUGGGCACUGUCUCAACAGCCCGCCCGGCGAAAUUGUAGUACCGGUGAAGAUGCCGGUUUCCUGCGACUAGACGGAAAGACCCCAUGGAGCUUUACUGUAGUCUGAUACUGAAAUUUGGUUCAUUAUGCACAGGAUAGGUGGGAGACAGAGAAACCCGGGCUUUGGCUUGGGCGGAGUCGCCGUUGGGAUACCACUCUUGAUGAACCAAGUUUCUAACCUGCUCCCGUGAUCCGGGAGGGGGACAAUGUCAGAUGGGCAGUUUGACUGGGGCGGUCGCCUCCAAAAGAGUAACGGAGGCGUUCAAAGGUUGGCUCAGCGCGGACGGAAAUCGCGCAAUGAGUAUAAACGUAUAAGCCAGCCUAACUGUGAGACCUACAAGUCGAGCAGUAACGAAAGUUGGAGUUAGUGAU
This 1215-nucleotide ribosomal RNA is filed under the name human gut metagenome. Its description in RNAcentral is "bacterial LSU rRNA". It matches the Rfam family "Bacterial large subunit ribosomal RNA", at positions 1122 to 2419 of the family's 2925-position model. The record is from RNAcentral.